UGCCAGCCGCCGCGGUAAUACGGAGGGUGCAAACGUUGUUCGGAAUCACUGGGCAUAAAGCGCACGUAGGCGGUUUUGUCAGUCUGAUGUGAAAGCCCUCGGCUCAACCGGGGAACUGCAUUGGAUACUGCAAGACUUGAGGACGGUUGGGGUGAGUGGUACUCCUGGUGGAGCGGUGAAAUGCGUAGAUAUCAGGAGGAACACCAGUGGCGAAAGCGGCUCACUGGACCGUAACUGACGCUGAGGUGCGAAAGCUAGGGGAGCGAACAGGAUUAGAUA
Molecule: ribosomal RNA, 279 nt
Filed under: uncultured bacterium
Lineage: Bacteria
Description: partial 16S ribosomal RNA
Rfam family: Bacterial small subunit ribosomal RNA
Source: RNAcentral